Molecule: unclassified non-coding RNA, 148 nt
Organism: Pongo abelii (Sumatran orangutan)
Lineage: Eukaryota; Metazoa; Chordata; Mammalia; Primates; Hominidae
Rfam family: Metazoan signal recognition particle RNA
About the family: The signal recognition particle (SRP) is a universally conserved ribonucleoprotein. It is involved in the co-translational targeting of proteins to membranes.
Source: Ensembl
GCUGGGUAUGGUGGUGUACACCUGUAAUCCUAGCUACUUGGGAGGCUGAGGCAGGAGAAUCGCUUGAACUCAGGAGGCACAGGUUGCAGUGAGGCAAGAUUGUACCACUGCACUCCAGCCUGGGCAACAGAGCGAGACUCUGUCUCAA